This 603-nucleotide ribosomal RNA is filed under the name uncultured fungus. Its description in RNAcentral is "eukaryotic LSU rRNA". It matches the Rfam family "Eukaryotic large subunit ribosomal RNA", at positions 23 to 641 of the family's 3401-position model. The record is from RNAcentral. Lineage: Eukaryota; Fungi.
ACCCGCUGAACUUAAGCAUAUCAAUAAGCGGAGGAAAAGAAACCAACAGGGAUUGCCCUAGUAACGGCGAGUGAAGCGGCAACAGCUCAAAUUUGAAAUCUGGCGUCUUUGGCGUCCGAGUUGUAAUUUGCAGAGGGCGCUUUGGCAUUGGCAGCGGUCCAAGUUCCUUGGAACAGGACGUCACAGAGGGUGAGAAUCCCGUACGUGGUCGCUAGCCUUUACCGUGUAAAGCCCCUUCGACGAGUCGAGUUGUUUGGGAAUGCAGCCCUAAAUGGGAGGUAAAUUUCUUCUAAAGCUAAAUACUGGCCAGAGACCGAUAGCGCACAAGUAGAGUGAUCGAAAGAUGAAAAGCACUUUGGAAAGAGAGUUAAAAAGCACGUGAAAUUGUUGAAAGGGAAGCGCUUGCAGCCAGACUUGCCUGUAGUUGCUCAUCCGGGUUUUUACCCGGUGCACUCUUCUAUAGGCAGGCCAGCAUCAGUUUGGGCGGUUGGAUAAAGGUCUCUGUCAUGUACCUCUCUUCGGGGAGAACUUAUAGGGGAGACGACAUGCAACCAGCCCGGACUGAGGUCCGCGCAUCUGCUAGGAUGCUGGCGUAAUGGCUGU